UACACUUGGUAGUUCUUUAUUAAUUAAUACAAUACACAAUGUGAACAUAGAAAUGGUGUGUAGUCAUCACUACAACAAAGUACUGUGUCCCAAAUGGCAUCCGACUAUCUAUAUAGUGUACAACUUUAGGCCAGGAUGCAUAGGGCUCUGGUCUAAAGUAGUGCACUGCAUAGGGAAUAGGGUGCCAUUGGGGACGCAAAAUGAACCGUACCGAUAGUUUCUCCCCCAGCUACGACACCUACAGUAUAGAAAAUAAUUUGUGAGCACAAUAAAUGAUCAUCCCAAUAGCCAUCAUGAAGACAAUUCACCCCCAAAACACAAUAUAAAAACACCCUACAAAAAACUGAUGAAUCAUAAAAAAAUAACAUCUCUUUUCUAACGUAUUGGACUGUCAAAGAGCACAAGAGCAUUGCUGAAAAAUACUUUCUGCAGAUAAAAGACAAAGUUUGGAAGAGGGAAGGUUCACCUCAGCAGUGAAGAAUAGGUCAACAUGGUACUGUAGUCCAGUCUAUGAAUGGCACAGUUCUGUAUCGGACUCAACACACUUGGUUUUUAGAUACUUAAGGAGAACGAUGAAGAGAGAGAGAGAGCGCCGUACUGUAUAUACAGGAGAGAGAGAGAGAGAGAGAGAGAGCCAUACUGUAUAUACAGGAGAGAGAGAGAGCGCCAUACUGUAUAUACAGGAGAGAGAGAGGCUGUAUAGUCUAUCCUCACAACCUGCCUGGCACCCUAUUCCCUAUGGACCCUAUGCCCCCUGGUCAGAAGUAGUGCACUAUGAAGGGAAUAGACUGCCAUCUGGGACACUCAGAGAGAUGGAAUGAUUUUCUGAGGACGCGGACAUCCUACCACUGUGACUGGUUUGUUUCAGCAUGGUCAGUUCAUCUUGUAGUUUCCUCCUCUUAUCAGUAGUGCACUAUGAAGGGAAUAGGGUGCCAUCUGGGACACAGGCUAUGAACCCUUUUCCAUCCAAACCACUAUGUUACAAUAAGGAUUAUCAGAUUUUAUACCUGGUACAUUCUGGUGUCAUCCUGUAAGCACCGUUUUAUUGAGAAUUUGGCAUGAAAAAGAAUGUUGUCUCUAGCUCCGCUCUCAUCCCUUUCUGCCCCCCGUAUCGGUCCCCCUCCUCUCUCCACAACAAACAUCAUUUCCCCUCACAGCCGAAUGUCCCGGUGGUACAGUCUCUUCGCCGGUAUGAAUAUGUUUCCACCUACUCCCUGCGUGAUCUUCCAGUUCUCAAAAGGCCACUUGGUGGCUUGAACAAUGUGUUCGUGUUUGUGCAUACAUACUGCCUGUUGGGCCUAGCCUACUGCCUGUUCCCUCUCCAGCUGGAGCUCUGCAUAAACAGCAGCAGGACAGGGUCAUGUUCAUUAGGGCACACUGUUUCAAGAUGUUUUACAACAGAAAAGGAAAACAAGUAUUAUUGCACAAGGACGUGAAUUACAGGAUAUGCUUCACAUGCCUUCCUGCUUGGCUCCAGGGUGCUGAUUCUAUUGGCUCUAAGGCACAGGGUGGGUCCAGGGUGUGUCUGUUUUUUGUAACAUGGCUGGAUCCCAGGUGAUCCACCCAUGGGAGAGUGGCAUACCAGUCCUAUUGUUCACAGCUCUCUGUACAGCUACCAUGGGAAUGAGAGCAGGUCUGACCUCAUGGAGUCGCAGCUCUGUGAGAGAGAGGAGGUAUGGAGGACAAUGAGUUCUGUCCCUGAUACACUGAUUACUACUUCACUGUGUUAGGAAUGUUGAUUACAUCAUUUACAUUACACAUUUAGUCUUUAUUCAUUAAUGUUGAUUAAUGCGUUAUAGUAUGCCAUGAAACAUUGUAUACCUGUCUGCUUAGUGCCAACUUGUGUCAAUUUGCUCUAAUAUCAUAACAUGAAAUUACUAAUUCUGUCUUCGAUGACGCAUUAACAUACAGUAUAAAACAGACGAUAUGUUCCAAUGUUCAUACUAGCAUACCUUUUAGAACGCAUGGCCAGGUAUUAUCCUAGUGUGGACACUGGGACAGAGCUGGUGUUCAGAAUGCAUGGCCAGGUAUUAUCCUAGUGUGGACACUGCUGGUGUUCAGAACGCAUGGCCAGGUAUUAUCCUAGUGUGGACACUGGGACACAGCUGGUGUUCAGAACACAUGGCCAGAUAUUAUCCUAGUGUGGACACUGCUGGCGUUCAGAACGCAUGGCCAGGUAUUAUCCUAGUGUGGACACUGGGACACAGCUGGUGUUCAGAACACAUGGCCAGAUAUUAUCCUAGUGUGGACACUGGGACACAGCUGGUGUUCAGAACACAUGGCCAGAUAUUAUCCUAGUGUGGACACUGCUGGCGUUCAGAACGCAUGGCCAGGUAUUAUCCUAGUGUGGACACUGGGACACAGCUUGUGUUUUGGCAUCCUUAUUACCCCUGAGGUUGUCAGCUCUGAAAUACUUACAGACAAACAUGCGGAUGCACAUUCCACACAUGGCACAGACGUUGGCAAUCUGAAGAGCCCGUCCACACUCUCCACUCAUCACGCAGUUCCUGGUCUUCAGACAGCACGUCUUACAGCCGCUGUCCCCCCCGUGCUUCAUGUCCCCCUCUCCGUCCCCCUCAGACCCGCUGAAGCAGCAGCCCAUGUCUGUCUGGCUGUCCGUCUGGCUGUCUGGUAACCGCUGAAAG
Molecule: long non-coding RNA, 2645 nt
Filed under: Salmo salar (Atlantic salmon)
Lineage: Eukaryota; Metazoa; Chordata; Actinopteri; Salmoniformes; Salmonidae
Description: lncRNA (ENSSSAG00000090267.1)
Source: RNAcentral